Molecule: ribosomal RNA, 486 nt
Filed under: uncultured bacterium
Lineage: Bacteria
Description: bacterial SSU rRNA
Rfam family: Bacterial small subunit ribosomal RNA
Source: RNAcentral
AUUGAACGCUGGCGGCAUGCCUUACACAUGCAAGUCGAACGGCAGGCACGGGUGCUUGCACCUGGUGGCGAGUGGCGAACGGGUGAGUAAUACAUCGGAACGUACCUUAUCGUGGGGGAUAACGCAGCGAAAGCUGUGCUAAUACCGCAUACGCCCUGAGGGGGAAAGCGGGGGAUCGAAAGACCUCGCGCGAUUAGAGCGGCCGAUGCCUGAUUAGCUUGUUGGUGGGGUAAAAGCCCACCAAGGCGACGAUCAGUAGCUGGUCUGAGAGGACGAUCAGCCACACUGGGACUGAGACACGGCCCAGACUCCUACGGGAGGCAGCAGUGGGGAAUUUUGGACAAUGGGGGAAACCCUGAUCCAGCAAUGCCGCGUGAGUGAAGAAGGCCUUCGGGUUGUAAAGCUCUUUUGUCAGGGAAGAAACACCGGCUCUAACACAGUCCGGGAAUGACGGUACCUGAAGAAUAAGCACCGGCUAACUACGUG